This is a long non-coding RNA of Carassius auratus (goldfish), 2269 nucleotides long. RefSeq lists it as uncharacterized. Lineage: Eukaryota; Metazoa; Chordata; Actinopteri; Cypriniformes; Cyprinidae. The transcript has 3 exons. The record is from RefSeq and is a predicted model, not a curated record.
GCUCCUGUUAUAUCAGCACCACCUUUUAUCCCAAAAAGCGGCACAGCUGCUCCUCCUACACUCACUUCACCAGCUCACUGUGCACAGACACCAGCAGAAAAGCAAAACCCUUCUACAAGAAAGGUCUACAGACCAACCUGACGGGGGGAAGAAGUGGAUCAGACAGUAUCGCCUGCUCUGCUGCAGAAGUCCACAUUAUGAGUUUAUUGGAAUUAAUAAAACACCAGCAGGAGCAAAUAAUUGCUAAAGUAAAUUAUAUUUCGAGCAAGUUGAACCCGGCAGCCUAAGACAUGGAAAUGCCUGACAACCCAGUGGAUUUUCCAUUAACAUCAAUGGAGGAAGUGGAGAAUUUUGAGGAGUGGCUCAGAAAUCCCACAAAUAAUAAUCAUAUAAAGUUGAGUGUGAUUUCUUCCCUUGCAACUGUUGGGGGCCAUGACACAAAACGUGUCACCUGGAACAUCCUUUCCCACAUGUCCAUGAUGACGUUGGGAGGAGGAUCAACUGGAAGAGCGUGAAUGGGAAAAAAGCAUUCAGCCAGAUGGAGUCCAAGAAGUUCCUCCCGUGUAAGUAAAUGUGGGAAUGUCAGCAGGAGCAAACAGUUCUGACUCACACAUAACGAGCAGGUACGACACACCUAGGGCGAGGGGAGGUUUCCACUAGUUAUUCAAUCGCAGAUGGUUUCAUUAUCUUGGCCGGAUACAAAAGUCUUAACAAAACUGUGAAUAAAUAAAACUGUUUGAAAAAAAGUGUGGCCUUCUCUCUCAAAACAAACAGUUGAAAGGGAUAUUUUAGCUACAAAGUUUGCACACACAUUCACAUGAACUAAUUCGUGCUCAACUUAUGUAAAAUGGCUAUUUUUGCUCAAAAUAGAUAUUCUUUUUUUCACAAAACACAUUAAGGAGGAACAGAUCUUUUAACCAGAGUAUCAGAAUAGCUCGCCUCUCCUUACCCACACUUCUUCUUCUGCUUCUAGCUUUUUAUUGCGGUUGGCAAACAAACAAAAAGGUGCAUUCCCGUCACCUACUGAGCUGGAGAGUAAUUCACUGAUGAAACGGGAAGAAAAACUAAGCUGAGAGAAAGAGAAAGUAAAAAAAAAAACUUAUGGAAAGCACCAGAAAUAAUAAACUGGCCUCCAAUUCUUCUUAAACAGGUGAAUCUUUCUUAAAUAUUUUAAUAAUACUUUAUAUACUCUAUAACUUCCAAGUCAUUAUUCAGCAUAAUAUUUCCUAUCCCCAUUUCUUUUAACACUUUCACCAGUAUUAUCCUUUCAUUUUGAUAAGCAGUGCAAUAUACUAAUAGAUGUUCUACAGUUUCUGCUAAUCCACAUAGACUGCAAUUCCCAGACUCGUGUUUGUUCAUUUUAUACAGGGAAUAAUUUAAGAGCUGUAUGCCCAAGUCAAAGUCUGCUAAUGAUUGUGUCUUCUCUUCUAGUGCCACAACUUCCUCUUUCAUCACCAAUUUUAUUUUGAAUCUGAAGAUGUCUUCCCCUUUCCUCUUCAUUCCAUUGUACUUGCCAUUUGCCUUUUAUAGCUGUUCUAAUUAUAGCCUUAACUUCUUUAUACAGUGGAAUAUUCAGUUCUAUAGAAGAUUACGUCUCCUUUACUAGACGAUCCACUUUCUCAUUUCAGUCUACUCCCACAUGUACACAUGAAACACAUAUUGCUUCCCCAUGAAUUUAACUUGCACAGAAUUUUUAUCUUAUACAAAACAGUUUCAUAUAGAAUAUGUUGUCUUGAGGAUCUUCCACUAAUUCGACUUUAUAAUGCUGAGAAAGAAUCUGAGCAUAUCACAGCAGCCAUCUCUGUUGUGAAUCCUUAUUUAUAACCCUAUAUUAUAUCAUUAAUAUUUUCUUUUGCAUGUAAUAGACUCCUGUCUACUAAUUGUAAAUAGAUAAGCCAUGGUGACAUGCCAAACUUUACAGAAGAAAAAAUACAAUUUAAUAAUACAACAUUUGGUUCACUGACGAGGGCUUCAUGUUAAUCCGUCUCUGCUGCAGUAUGUGACCACAAAUACUGAAAGCCCUCUCGGAUGGUGCACUGGAAGCUGUAAUGAAAAGUACAUGGCGUGUUACUUUGCUUAAUCUCGCAAAUUCUUGACAUUGUCUUUUCCACCACUGGAGGACAUCCAACUUUAUCCCUUAAAUAUCUCGCUAUGUUCUUAUCUUUUUUCUUAAGAUUGUUCUUAAGACAAAACCUAAGAAGAAUUUAAAUUCUUGAAUAUAAUCUUCUUAAAAAUCAUUACACUGCUGUUAUUUUGCAUAUAAUAGAUU